Molecule: non-coding RNA, 4806 nt
Organism: Podarcis lilfordi (Lilford's wall lizard)
Lineage: Eukaryota; Metazoa; Chordata; Lepidosauria; Squamata; Lacertidae
Source: the annotation of a GenBank genome assembly
GGAGGCGUUGGGUAAACCCAAUGAGCAACGCGUGUCCUGUCGAAAGGGAUGGCUGAGUUUUUUGUUUUAUGCGUUAUGGAGCAGGAUUCAACGGCGGCAGAGGCCGUCCAGAAAGGAGGAGAGGCAGCUGUGAAAGCGAUCGAGCUGUUUUGUUUUGAUUCUGGCAAGCUCUGCUUCAGCAAUUGAGGCAGCAAUCCGAAAAGCAGCCUGGUUUGGGAAUAAUAAGCCUCCUUGAACCCCGUGGGAUUCAUUCCCAUAAGAUUUAUUCCCGAGUGAGAAUGCAUGCUAAUACGCCAUGACAGUAAUGUUAAGCACACUUGAGACCUGGUUCUGGACUUUGAAGUAAAUCCAUUUCAGGUCACUGGGAGUCAUUCCCAAGUAAUUGCGUUACAGUCUUUAACCACAAGGCAUUUUGAAACCCUAAGGACUUUGCUUCCAAGUGUUGUAAAUAAAAAUAUGCCCUUUUCCCUUAUGGGGUAUCCAAGAGCCCAUAUAGAGUCCUUACAUAGGUUCCCUAUUGGUAGGAGAAAAUAACAGAGGCCAACCAGAGAAUAUUGAGAAGCAAAGCAGCUAGUAAGCUUGAUCUUUAUUGAUCUGUUGCAACAGGGUGCUCCCCUCACUCGCAGGAAAGAAGAAGGACCCACAAAAAUGCUGUGCAAGGGCGUAUAAAGACUUUUGAAAUUCCCAUCCUGUAGACCAAGACCACCCCCAGAAACAUGAUACAUACAUCACAGAAGGGGUGUAACCUAAGACCACCCUCAGAUACAUCACAGAAAAGGUGGUCUUAAAACAGAAAUUUCAAUAUUGUUUUUCUCUUAUCCUUGUUUGUUUUCCUGUCUGGCAGGUUACUUGAUUGGAUUGCCUAAGGAGCCUGGCCAUUCUUUUGUAGUGAUAAAUAGUGAUAAAUACUUAGUUCCUGGGCCGUGUCACAGGCUCACACCCUAUUCAAACACAUCAACAUACCCCUAAGACAGGAUUUGUGAAGGAAAAGACAAUGGGGAGGUUUUUCCUCUUUGACCAUGCAGAGAAACAUUUGCUCAGUUUAGGAAUCAAAAAUGGCUUCAGGUCAGUCUUCCUGUGCUUGAUCUAUGUACGUGCAGUUAUGAACAUUACCAUAUAUCUAGACCUCAAAAUUCCUAUCACAUUAUCCCCCCUGUGGGGCUAGAAUUUUUCUUAAAAUUUUUUGCCCCACAAAUAAUAACAUUGUAUGUUGUAAAUGGAUGCCUUUGUGUAAAUAUAUCAUAUAAAAAUAACAGAUGUUGCAUUUUGUUACUAAAUUACUUGUGGCAUUCUAGCUCUUAAUAGUGGUCUAUGCUUUACAUUUAGCAGGAAGGUCUUCUAAUGACUGAAAAAUGCAGUGUGCUUUGUCCUGUGCAGUUUUUUAUGUGUUCUCAGGUGUCAAGCUAGCUCUUCUGUGGUCUCACACCGGCAUAAUGGUACAGCAGUGGCAAUCCGAGGUGAAUCCACUUAGGGCUUUCAUAUCAACCAUGUCGUCUGGCACUCACCAUAGCUGGCACAGGUUUGGACAUGUCAUGAGAGAAAUGUCUUUGCCUUGGCCUUUCUAUGGGAUUUUAUUAUUAUAGGCUCUGGUCUUGCACUCAUGGGAAGUUGCUCACUUGCUCUUAAAGGACCAAAAAGCUAAUUGCAGCCUGGAUACACUUGCCCAAUUCAAAAAGAGUCCGAUUUGAAUUUAUAUAUGCCCAUGGUUCUCAACUUUUAAAACAACCAUUCUUAAAAGGGCACCUGUCCAAAUUAGUUAAUUUAAUUCUUUAAGGGAUCAUUCCUGCUAAAUCAAGGCAUAUACACUUUUCUUGUUAUCUGGGCUUUCAUGGAUCCUGAAGCUUCUCCUUGGUAAAAUUAAAAUUCGGUAGAGAAGAGUAAGCACACAAUUUGGUUGUCCAAUUGAGAUGAAAAAAUGAGAGCAAUUAUGGGGAAAAACCUUAAGAUUCACUGUGUGCAAUCUGGGGGGGGAACUAUAUGAAAAUGAUAUGCAGAUGUUAGCAAAAUAAUAAUAAUAAUAAUAAUAAUAAUAAUAAUAAUAAUAUGUUGGAGAUGUAAACAAAGUGAAGAAACCUUAUUUGACGUAUGGUGGUCAUGUCCUCAAAUAAAUAAAUAAAAUUUGGGACAUGAUCUACACCCAUUUCCAUUUGGCAUUCUAAUCAAAACAUCCCAAAUAAUAAUAAAGAGUGUUGCUUCAAAACUACCUGAUAAAAUAUGGUUCCAAGACUAAUACUUGGUUGUGGUCAGAUUAAAUUCACAGCUUUACGGGAAAACCGAGAUUAAUAAAUAAAUACAGAACAAUUGCUACUUAAAGACAGUACUGAAUCUGCAAGGGAUACAGAGAAGUCAUAGAAGGGAUUCAAAAUAGUUUUCUGGAACAUUAAGAAAGUGACUGCAAAGAAAGAAAGAAAUAGUAAAAAAGUAAUUUCUUUCUGGGAACUUCGUGUAUAGAAAAAAAAAUCACUAUUUGUGUCCUUUGAAUAAUAAUAAAAAAAUGGGUAGAGAAGGUUGGCACACUGCAGAGUGCCAGGUGGGACAAGCAAAUAUGAGCAUCAGUUGACUUAAUCUAAAUAUAGCCUGAUCAAUUACACACAGAAAUUUUGUCCCCCCUUUGUGGGGGUAACACACUAUCAGACACAUUUCAGCAUUCCUACAUAAUAACACAUAAUACACAACAAACUAAUUAAAUAUCAGUUGCAUAUCUUGAGACAAUUGUGAUCUUUUAUGUAUGUAUCUUCUGAAUCCUGGAGCACAGUGUUAAGGUUCAAAAGUGAGAAAAUGUCCUUGCAAUUCAACUCCUCCCCCCUUUGUCAGCCCCACUCCCCCGCCAGUCUAUAUCCUUUGAAAGAGAUAGCUGUGGGCACUUUGAAAACUCUAGUGUCUGUUGUUGUUGCAGGUAAUAGUCUUGUGGUGGCGAAGCUUUUUCAUCAUAGGUCUGUAGUAACUCAUCUGUAGAAGUGACAUCCUGUAAGGGGGCAGGGUUUUUAGGGACUUAAAAGACAGAGUUAGAAAAGGAAGGGGCAAAAGACCCCCCCCUUUAGCUGCAAAUAAUAAAAUCUUAGCACGUUAAGCAUUUUAUUCAUUUCAAUAUUAUUAUCACAUUUCCAUAUAAUUACUGUUAUUAUCUGCUAAGUUUGUUUGCUUUCCUUCACUUAGUUGUUGUUUUUAUAUUAUUAAAUAAAAAAUUACUCCACAUGUACAGAAAGAGAACUGUAAAAAAUACAAGAAAGGUUGAAAAAUAAAAGAAAGCAAAAAAAUAGAUUACCAGUCAGAUGAAAACGGACUUGACACAAAGACAUCAGAUUCAGAAAAGAAUUAUUAUUAAAUAAUACAAUGAUACUAUCAAAACCACACAGAUUACUACUGGACUGAAAAAAAUGGGAAAACAAUGGAAAAAGGCUUAAAAUGACUUUCAAUAUGUGAUGGACAUGUCCCCAAAGUAAAACACACACACACACACACACACACAAUGAUCUAUGAGGAACCAAAAACUAAAUGCUAAGACACACAAUUUUUAAGAAACCUGAAGUAACCUGAAGUAAUCUGUUUUGGCAUUCUAACAUCCCAAAUGAAAAUAAAAGAGUGUUUCUUGAUGUGACAACAUCGGCUAGAAUGUUAAUAGCAAAAUACUGGGAAAUGAGUUAAUACCAAGAAAAAAUGAAUGGCAAAGAAAGUGACUGUUUGGCUGUAAGGGAAAGACGAAAAUAAAUACAAAUGCAAUUACUUUUUUAUAGAGUAUUUAAAUCACUGUUUGCAUUCCCUCAUUAUCAUUUGUGCUGUGGGAGAAAAGAAAGGACACUUUGUUAGAGGUUCCCAUAUCCUGUUAAAAGGGGAAAUUUUUUCAUGUGAGAAGUCUGUCAGGAAAUGCUGUUCCUAAAAUGCAUUGACAUAUACACAAACAAAACCUGUUAUAAAAUUUUAAAUCCCAUUGGGGAGGCGAACUACUCAAGAGAGGAACUCACAGUGGGAGUGGUUUGAUAUUUACCUGUGAAAAGAAUUUGGCAUGUUAGAUUUGAAAACUUGGCAACCUCUUGACUUUUGAUGGUCCAGUACUUAACACUUUUGUCUUAAGUAGCCCCUGGAGCAAAGGACACAUUAAGGGUGAUUUCCCUCAAUGGUUCCAAGUUUACAUAAGGAAAUUUUGAUAAGUUUCUCCCUGCAGCACACGCUCUCCAAACCUCCUCUCCCCCCCAUCCUUUCCCCCCUCCUUUCUCUCUCUCUCUCUCUCUCUCUCUUUUUUAAGCUGAUCUAGCCUCUGUGCAUGUGCAGAGUUCAUGUCUCAGCAAACCUUUGAUAUCAUUGAAAGUGUUGCAUCUUUUAGCUAAAUUACCAUUUGAAUAAAGGAAAUGAAGGGUAAGGAGUAGAUUUAAAAAAUAGGGUUAGAUUUAAAACAAAACAAACUCAGCAAUUCAAGUAUUCACCAAAGCUAGCAAUAGAAGUUGGUCAAAUGAAAUUUCUGUUAACUCAGUUCUAAGGGAUCAUCUUUCCUGCAGCCCAAGCAAAGCGAGUGCUUCCUUUAUUUACAGGAAAUUGAGAGCAGGUGUUUAUUUAAAAAUGUGGGCUAUCAUUAUUUUGUGUGAUUUCUCUUCUGGUCAUUCGCGGAACAAUCAGCCGCGCCCUUAUAUAUGGGGAAAAUGGCCAGAGUCAAAAUGCAUAGGAUCUUUAACAUUCUCAGUCAUUUCAGCCUUAACAUUUGCAGACAAAAAUUUAUGCCCUUUAUUUUAAAGGAUGGUCAAGGCUCAUUCUACUUGAUUAUAAGAAUUUGUAUGUGUUUAAACUUUGAAUAGACUUGGAAGUCUGAUCUUU